UACGUAGGGUCCGAGCGUUAAUCGGAAUUACUGGGCGUAAAGCGUGCGCAGGCGGUUUUGUAAGCCAGAUGUGAAAGCCCCGGGCUCAACCUGGGAACUGCAUUUGGGACUGCAAGGCUGGAGUACGGCAGAGGGAGGUGGAAUUCCACGUGUAGCAGUGAAAUGCGUAGAGAUGUGGAGGAACACCGAUGGCGAAGGCAGCCUCCUGGGCUAGUACUGACGCUCAUGCACGAAAGCGUGGGGAGCAAACAGGA
This 254-nucleotide ribosomal RNA is filed under the name uncultured bacterium. RNAcentral's name for it is "partial 16S ribosomal RNA". It matches the Rfam family "Bacterial small subunit ribosomal RNA", at positions 524 to 777 of the family's 1533-position model. The record is from RNAcentral.